GAUGAACGCUGGCGGUGUGCCUAAUACAUGCAAGUCGAACGAGGUGCUUUUGUAGCAAUACGAGAGUAUCCUAGUGGCGAACGGGUGAGUAACGCGUUGGUGACCUACCCCAAAGUGUGGGAUAACAGUCCGAAAGGAUUGCUAAUACCGCAUGUGGUCAUCGGGUUUAGAAACCGAUGUCUAAAGGAGCAAUUCGCUUUGGGAGGGACCUGCGUCCCAUCAGCUAGUUGGUGAGGUAAUGGCCUACCAAGGCGACGACGGGUAGGGGACCUGAGAGGGUGGCCCCCCACACUGGCACUGAAACACGGGCCAGACACCUACGGGAGGCAG
This 330-nucleotide ribosomal RNA is filed under the name uncultured Chloroflexota bacterium. Its description in RNAcentral is "bacterial SSU rRNA". It matches the Rfam family "Bacterial small subunit ribosomal RNA", at positions 28 to 351 of the family's 1533-position model. Lineage: Bacteria; Bacillati; Chloroflexota. The record is from RNAcentral.